Molecule: long non-coding RNA, 158 nt
Organism: Sebastes umbrosus (honeycomb rockfish)
Lineage: Eukaryota; Metazoa; Chordata; Actinopteri; Perciformes; Sebastidae
Exons: 2
Source: RefSeq, a predicted model, not a curated record
AAAACCUUUGACUCUAAUAUGUCAACAAAGGGAAACAAUUAUUUUGAACCUGGCUUUAUCCAUAUUUACAUUUCUGAUCUGGAAAUAUACGCAAAUUAGCAAAGAUAAUGCCUCAUAUUGCUGCAUUUUUAACAUACAAUUUAAGAAAACUUGCAAUC